Non-coding RNA from Acanthosepion pharaonis, 115 nucleotides. The record is from the annotation of a GenBank genome assembly. Lineage: Eukaryota; Metazoa; Mollusca; Cephalopoda; Sepiida; Sepiidae.
UUACGGCCAUAUCGCGGUGAAACACCGGUUCUCCUGCGAAUCACCGAAGUUAAGCAACGUCGAUCUUGGUUAGUACCUAGAUGGGUGAUCGUUUUGGAAUACCAGGUACUGUAAG